CUGAAAUAUUUGGUGCAAGGGCUCUGCCCCGGCUCCUAGCCAGAAUCGAGAGCAGACUCCUUCUAAGACACAUACGCCUUAUUGGCAUGAGGCCACCUUUGCCUAACAUGCUAUAUAAGCUAACAGAGAAAAAGCGGACAUUGGGAGACUCAGGACUACACGCAGGGAUUCUGCCCAACGGGACCCCGACCAGCCCCUGUCUUGGGAUUUCCCCAGUUGUCCUACGAUGUUGAGCCAAGGUGCUACCCCGACCGACUGGUGAUUUAUUAGAAUUGCAUGCAGGACUUCUGCCCAAUGGGACCCUGACCAAUUGCCUUCUGGGGACCUCCCAGUUUUCUCGGUGUUGAGGAGUUGAUUUUCAUCCUUCAGCCUGUCUCACAGAGUAAGAAGUUUACAGGAGCUCCAACCUGACCAACUGCCAUGUCCAUUUCAAAGACAAGAGUAAGGAAAGAAGCCAAGGCAAAUGAGCUUACACAGCCAUUGUAGCUUCAUCUAAGCUGUCUUCCCAAAGUCAAGACAAUAUCUCUUAUUCCUAAUUGGCCUGAAUUUCUCUAGUCAUAUUUUGCUAAGAGACAGAUCAGAAAUGACAACCAUUUGUUGUGGUAUUGCUAACCUGAAUAAAACUUAGUCUUUGUGCUUAACUGCAAGGGAAGAAAGAAAAUUGAGAGGGACAGCCAUUAUUUUUUCUCUAUUCUAAAUUCAAAGUCAAAAAGAAAAAUUAUGAGCUAUUAUCAGGUGUAUUUUUUUACUUCAUAAAUCAUCACUUUUCUCUAGGUGUUUGUUCAUUCCUAGGUGGAAAAAAGAAGUAUUGGUUGAUUGGACAAAGACUUCUCUCUUGAUUAAAUGAAGGUGUGUAAAGGAGAGGGAGAAAAAUUUCUGGUUAAGGAGAAAUGUGUUUCAAAGAAAAGAAAAGGAUGAGAUCCCAGCUGUUGACUCUGUGUUAGUUCACGUGCCACUGAAGUUUUGUUCAUAAAGUCUUUUCCUACACCAAUACCACAGCGAUAUAUGCACAUCCAUGUUUAUAGUGGCACAGUUUGUAAUAGCUAAAUCUUGUAAACAGCCCAAAUGCCCAUCACCUGGUGAGUGGAUAAAGAUGUGGGGGGGGGUAUAAAAUGGAGUAUUACUCAGCCAUAAAGAAUGAGAAACUAGAGACAUUUAUAGCUAAAUGGAUGCAUAUUGAUGCCAUAGUCUUAAGUGAAUAAAUAGGACACAUGUGUAAAUACUGAAUAGUGUCUAUGGUGUGAGAAACUAAAAGUGUAAAUAAGUACCAAAAUGUAUAAUAGAUAAUCUGAAAUAGGAAGAAAAGAUCCAAAGGGGAAGGGGAAGUGGGAGGGCAAGGGUAAAGAAAGAAGGGGAAAAAUGUGAGAAAAGAAGAAAGAAAUGGAAACAAAGUUUUUUGUAAAUAGGGAGGGGUGGAGGGGUGGAAGGGAGGGAGAGGAAAGGGGGAAAAAGGAAGAAUCAAGAUAUACCAUGUAUAGGUACAAAUUCCCAAUGAUGAAUGUGAUCAUAAUACAUACCUAAAAUGUACCAAUAACUUAACGAAUAAAAAAAGAAAAAGAAAGGAAGUAUGAGUCAGUUGUUCUUACAAGCAAAUCUCAUGUUGCAAUCUAAUAUUAGACUGAAAAUGGUGCACAUUUGCCUCAGACCC
Molecule: long non-coding RNA, 1648 nt
Filed under: Heterocephalus glaber (naked mole-rat)
Lineage: Eukaryota; Metazoa; Chordata; Mammalia; Rodentia; Bathyergidae
Description: lncRNA (ENSHGLG00100036542.1)
Source: RNAcentral